GGAGUCUGGGCCGUGUCUCAGUCCCAAUGUGGCCGUCCGCCCUCUCAGGCCGGCUACUGAUCGUCGCCUUGGUGGGCCGUUACCCCGCCAACUGGCUAAUCAGACGCAUCCCCAUCCCUUACCGAUGAAUCUUUGCUCCUCGUUAGAUGCCCGCAAAGGAGAACAUAGGGCAUUAAUCCGACUUUCGCCGGGCUAUUCCCUAGUAAGGGGAAGGUUGGAUACGCGUUACUCACCCGUGCGCCGGUCGCCAUCAAAGUUUGCAAGCAAACUUCAUGCUGCCCCUCGACUUGCAUGUGUUAAGCCUGUAGCUAGCGUUCAUC
This 320-nucleotide ribosomal RNA is filed under the name uncultured Prevotella sp. RNAcentral describes it as "partial 16S ribosomal RNA". The record is from RNAcentral. Lineage: Bacteria; Pseudomonadati; Bacteroidota; Bacteroidia; Bacteroidales; Prevotellaceae.